AAACUUUCAACCAGUCGGUGGUCUUCUUCCUCAACCAGAAUGGACAACAAUGGACCAAACGGUUGAGUAUUGUGCCUUUGCCUAUCAGCAAUACAUUGUCAUAUCUUCCUUGCGCCCUCAAUAUAGAUACUUGGGAGAUGUUGCCAUUCCAUUUGCUACAGGUGCUGUUUGGCAACGGAGACAGCUCUUUGUGGCUACACCAACUACGAUAGAGUGUGUUUUCGUUGAUGAUGGUGUUGCUCCCAUUGAUAUAGAAACUAAACGGCGUAAAGAAGAUAUGAAACUGAAGGAGGCUCCUUCGAGAGCUGUUGCAGAGCAUGGUGAGUUGGCUCUGAUUGCGGUAGAUGGUCCAUAAACUGCAACACAGGAGCGGAUUUCUUUGAGACCUCCAAUGCUAUAGGUUGUGCGGUUAGCAUCUUUUCAGCAUGCUCCAUCUAUCCCUCCAUUCUUAAUGUUACCUAAACAAUCUAAAGUUGGUAGUGAAAGCUCAUCCGUGCCUAAAGAUAUGGGUAGUAGGAAAGUCAAUGAAGUUGUUGUCGGUGGGAGAGCGGUGGCAGUGGCAGUAACUCGUUUUCCAGGAGAACAAAAACGGCCAGUUGGACCUCUUGUGGUAGUGGGCGUUCGGGAUGGUGUUCUUUCGCUUAUUGAUAGAUACAUGUCUAUUUAUGCAAUAUCCCUCUGCCAUCCCGGAAUCCGCUGCCGUUGUCUAGCUGCCUAUGGAGAUGUUGUUAGUGCAGUAAAAUGGUAAGUUUUAUUAACUUUAUGGUUUUUAAUUGAUUUAUGUCUAUAUUAUUUUCAUGUAUAUCUACAACUACCUUCUAUGCAGGGCAAGUAGGCUUGGUAGAGAACACCAUGAUGAUUUGGCUCAGUUUAUGCUUGGGAUGGGUUAUGCUACUGAAGCACUUCAUUUGCCUGGGAUAUCUAAGAGAGUGGAAUUUGACCUGGCAAUGCAGAGCAACGAUCUGAAAAGAGCCCUCUAGUGUCUUCUAACGAUGAGUAACAGCAGGGAUAUUGGAAAUGAAACUGUUGGGCUAAACUUGAACAACUUUAUGAGUCUAACUGUCAAAAAGGAAGAUAUUGUGGAGGCAGUUGAUGGAGUAGUGAAAUUCGGGAAGGAAUUUCUUGAUCUUAUUGAUGCUGCAGAUGCCACUGCUCAAGGUGAGAUUGCUCGUGAAGCUCUUAAGCGGUUAGCUGCAGCCGGUUAAGUGAAGGGAGCUUUACGGGGACAUGAAUUAAGGGGAUUAGCCUUAUAAUUAGCUAAUCACGGGGAGUUGACUCGACUUGGGGUAUAUCUUGAUUUUUUGCUUUGUUUUCUUUUUGUUUCGGUUUUCUAUUUCGCGUUAGAAUAAAAAAAAUAAUAUUAGUUGGUGCAUGGCUUUUAGCCAUCUACCUAUCUUCCAUGUCCGGUCUGUGUUUUAUAACUCCAUGUAUGAGUUGUGACUUGUUAGCUAUAUACUCUUCAGUCCUUUAGCACACAUUUAUAAA
Molecule: long non-coding RNA, 1485 nt
Organism: Daucus carota subsp. sativus
Lineage: Eukaryota; Viridiplantae; Streptophyta; Magnoliopsida; Apiales; Apiaceae
Exons: 5
Source: RefSeq, a predicted model, not a curated record